RNAcentral lists this ribosomal RNA (251 nucleotides) under uncultured bacterium. RNAcentral describes it as "partial 16S ribosomal RNA". It matches the Rfam family "Bacterial small subunit ribosomal RNA", at positions 524 to 769 of the family's 1533-position model. The record is from RNAcentral.
UACAUGGGGCGCAAGCGUUAUCCGGAAUUAUUGGGCGUAAAGAGCUCGUAGGCGGUUUGUCGCGUCUGCUGUGAAAACCUGAGGCUCAACCUCGGGCUUGCAGUGGGUACGGGCAGACUAGAGUGCGGUAGGGGGUGACUGGAAUUCCUGGGUGUAGCGGUGGAAUGCGCAGAUAUCAGGAGGAACACCGGUGGCGAAGGCGGGUCUCUGGGCCACUACUGACGCUGGAGAAGCGAAAAGCAUGGGGGAGC